GCGUGUGUGAAGAAGGCCUUCGGGUUGUAAAGCACUUUCAGCGGGGAAGAAGGCGUUGUGGUUAAUACCCUCGGCGAUUGACGUUACCCGCAGAAGAAGCACCGGCUAACUCCGUGCCAGCAGCCGCGGUAAUACGGAGGGUGCAAGCGUUAAUCGGAAUUACUGGGCGUAAAGCGCACGCAGGCGGUCUGUCAAGUCAGAUGUGAAAUCCCCGGGCUCAACCUGGGAACUGCAUUCGAAACUGGCAGGCUAGAGUCUUGUAGAGGGGGGUAGAAUUCCAGGUGUAGCGGUGAAAUGCGUAGAGAUCUGGAGGAAUACCGGUGGCGAAGGCGGCCCCCUGGACCAAGACUGACGCUCAGGUGCGAAAGCGUGGGGAGCAAACAGGAUUAGAUAC
RNAcentral lists this ribosomal RNA (394 nucleotides) under uncultured bacterium. RNAcentral describes it as "bacterial SSU rRNA". It matches the Rfam family "Bacterial small subunit ribosomal RNA", at positions 399 to 785 of the family's 1533-position model. The record is from RNAcentral.